AGGUGACUGAAAGCUCAGGUGAGCUCGCGCUCUCCUUAAAUGACGUAACAGCAGGACAGACACGAGCCGCUAGAGUUCACGACCACAAAAUAUGCAUGGUUGCUGCCUAAAAAAUACUGCAUUACAAAUAAGAUUUGAGGGAGUACCACCAGCCAUGCCAGGGGUACCACACUAUUCCGUCAUCAGUGACUGCGCUGUAGGGGCCUCUGUGGUAGAAUCCAUUCAGAUUGGCAGAGUGACAUCUAGAGGAAUACAGAUGCAAACCUGUUAAACCACCAGCCACCCUUGUCCUCCUGAGCACAACUGCGAUCGUAGCGGUCAUUAUCUCUGUCUCGUGUGCUGAACUUCAUUCCCUGAUGGCUGGCCCACCACUGAACCUCAGGAUGAUAACUGCCAGAGAGAGCGUCCCCUGCGUUUCCUGUGUAUACGCCAAACUGGAGCUGGUAAUGGUUCUGAGAAGACAAAUGGGAUUGUUAAAAGAUUAACCAAAUAAACAGAUAUUAUUCCAUUCAGGUCAGAUGAAAUGUAUAAAUUGUGUAACACAUUCGUUUUGUUCUUAAUGGAAAUAGAAUACAGUUAUACGCCCUGAUGUACUGAUCUAUUAGAAACUUCACAUGCCACCUGUUGGUUCAUAAUGGGCAUUGUAUAUUUAUCCACACAUCAUUUAUCAUAAUAUGA
Long non-coding RNA from Onychostoma macrolepis, 678 nucleotides. RefSeq lists it as uncharacterized. NCBI's taxonomy places the organism in Eukaryota, Metazoa, Chordata, Actinopteri, Cypriniformes, Cyprinidae. The transcript is spliced from 3 exons. The record is from RefSeq and is a predicted model, not a curated record.